UAUCAAUGGAGAAAGUAUGGCCAGAAGGUCACUAAAGAUAAUCCAUCGCCUAGAGCUUACUUCAGGUGUUCCAUGGCUCCAGGUUGCCCCGUCAAAAAGAAGGUUCAAAGAUGUGCCGAGGAUAAGUCAUUUCUGGUUGCUACUUAUGAAGGGAAGCACAACCAUGAUCCUUUUGGAUCUCCUGGUCACUCUAUAUACUCUCCGGAUAGCUCAUCAAGAAGCUCCAGAAGUAGCAUUAUUUCUUUCCCAGUCAACAGUAAUCCUUCUCAACCAGGUGUAGCUCUUGAUCUUACCCUCUCAAGUCCCACACAUGACAAGGAAAAACCUUGUCAAAGUUUAAUGGAAGAUCACACCAGCAACAAAAACUGUAACACUAAGGCUGAAGAGUACUUGGCAUCCCUGACUAAAGAUCCAAGCUUCACAGUUGCUUUGGCUGCAGCUGUAGCUCGCUCUUUAUCUACACCAAGAGUACUGUGAAGGGUCUCCACUUUAAGUGUAAAGGGAAUUGAUAAUUAGUUAGCUUCUAUUAGUCCUUCUUCUUCUUCUUCUUCUUCUUGUUAUUCUCUAGUUUUGAUUCUUAUGCUUCAGUUGUAUGUGAAUCAUGAAUCCAUUCCUCCACUACGUUUUUUAGGAUUACAAGAUCUCAAGUUUGAGCACUAGCAAAAGCCGAGUGAAAAAAAAAAAAAAAAGAUAUGCACCUUGA
This 703-nucleotide unclassified non-coding RNA is filed under the name Hevea brasiliensis (rubber tree). The record is from RNAcentral. Lineage: Eukaryota; Viridiplantae; Streptophyta; Magnoliopsida; Malpighiales; Euphorbiaceae.